RNAcentral lists this ribosomal RNA (863 nucleotides) under uncultured archaeon. RNAcentral describes it as "bacterial SSU rRNA". It matches the Rfam family "Archaeal small subunit ribosomal RNA", at positions 4 to 873 of the family's 1478-position model. The record is from RNAcentral.
CCGGUUGAUCCUGCCGGACCUGACUGCUAUCGGAUUGAUACUAAGCCAUGCGAGUCAUUGUAGCAAUACAAGGCAGACGGCUCAGUAACGCGUAGUCAAUCUACCCUAUGGGCGGGGAUAACCUCGGGAAACUGAGAAUAAUACCCGACAGAACAUUAUGCCUGGAAUGGUUUAUGUUUUAAAUGAUUUAUCGCCGUAGGAUGGGACUGCGGCCUAUCAGUUUGUUGGUGAGGUAAUGGCCCACCAAGACUAUUACAGGUACGGGCUCUGAGAGGAGUGGCCCGAAGAUGGGUACUGAGACACGGACCCAGGCCUUAUGGGGCGCAGCAGGCGAGAAAACUUUGCAAUGUGCGAAAGCACGACAAGGUUAAUCCGAGUGGUUUCUGCUAAAGAAACCUUUUGUUAGUCCUAGAAACACUGAUGAAUAAGGGGUGGGCAAGUUCUGGUGUCAGCCGCCGCGGUAAAACCAGCACCUCAAGUGGUCAGGAUGAUUAUUGGGCCUAAAGCAUCCGUAGCUUGCUUUGUAAGUUCUCGGUUAAAUCCAUGCGCUUAACGUAUGGGCUGCCGGUAAUACUGCAAAGCUAGGGAGUGGGAGAGGUAGACGGUACUCGGUAGGAAGGGGUAAAAUCCUUUGAUCUAUUGAUGACCACCUGUGGCGAAGGCGGUCUACCAGAACACGUCCGACGGCGAGGGAUGAAAGCUGGGGGAGCAAACCGGAUUAGAUACCCGGGUAGUCCCAGCUGUAAACUAUGCAAACUCAGUGAUGCAUUGGCUUGUGGCCAAUGCAGUGCUGCAGGGAAGCCGUUAAGUUUGCCGCCUGGGAAGUACGUACGCAAGUAUGAAACUUAAAGGAAUUGGCGGGA